UCUCCUGUGGGCUGAGCCAGGCUGUUUAAUCAAGAAAUACUGAAUAUUUAGGCUGAGUACCAGCUUCCUCAAAUAAGGAAUUUUGUCUUACCAAGGAUCUGUGCAUCUGUUGUGUUUGAAUGAUUUAAUUUGGAAAGUGUAUUGUUGUUAUAGACCAGUUCUAAAAUUAAGCUUGCAGAAGCAUAGUGCACUUUCUCUUAAAAAAGUGUCAGAAAUAAAACCAAUUUAAGGGAAGUAUCUCGCAGAGGAUUUUCUCCAGUAAAUAAAUCGUGUUUCAGACAGAAGUGACUGAUACUGGUUUGAAAGCCUGCUGCAAAUGAAAGUUGUGUAAAUGGCUUUGAACCAGGAAACUGGUAACGCGAAGGGAAGAGUCAGACUGUGUAGAUGCAGUAUUUCUGGAGCAUGACAGGGUUUGGGUUUUUUUUUUUUUUUUUUUUUUUUUUUCUUCUUGAUUUAACAAGUUGAAAAUCUGCUGAAUAAUUCAUGAAGAGUGGAAGGGCUGAAUCUUCCUGGAAUGAUAUACAGUGUACGUAGCGUGGCACAGGAGAAACUGCAAAGCUUUGUAUCAGUUGCUACCGUUUCUGCUGCUGAUUGCAAGGUGCUGCUGCUCUUCACAUUUUCACAGCUCCAGAAGCCUCAGCCGUGCUCUGGUCUGCUCACAGCCAUCCACUCUCUAUGGACCCACCUUCGCUACCUACACGCUGUGGGAUCUCAUAGUACUGCGUGCCUUGGACACUGCCAUUCUCUCACUGCACACUGUGUGUUCUGGACCUUGCAGCCCGUAUGACUGGAACAUGCCUUAAGAGCCCCUCAGCUGCACAUCCUCCCUUGUGCUUGGUGGGGGACUCCUGCAGCAGGAUCUUCUGACCCAGACCAGGAUGGGAUUUACAGGGAGAAGCCAAAACUGAGCUGCAUUCAGCGAGAUGCCCAACGCCUCUUCCUGGAGUGCCAGCUCGCCUCUGCUGCUGCUCUGGGAGGACUCCUCUGGGACCCGCAUCUUCCUCUCGCUGCUCUACGCAGUCUUGGCUAUCUCGGGGACCUUAUCCAAUGUGAUGGUCAUCUAUUUGGUCUUCUCCUUCAAGAAGCUGCAGACAACCAGCAAUGCCUUCAUCGUGAACGGCUGCGCGGCAGACCUGAGCGUGUGCGCCCUGUGGAUGCCCCAGGAGGCUGUGCUGGGGCUGCUGCCGCCCAACUCCUCCUCCCUUCGCUCCGCAGAGUACCGGCUGCUGCGAGGGGGGCUCCUGGGCCUCGGCCUCACCGUGUCCCUCGCCUCUCACCUGCUGGUGGCCUUCAACAGGUACGUGCUCAUCACCAAGCUGCCCAGCGUGUACCAGGCCCUCUACCAGCGGAGGCACACGGGCUGCAUGAUCGGGCUCUCCUGGGCCCUCGCCCUGCUCCUGGUCCCGCUGCUGCCCGGGCUCUGGACGCCAGGCUCUGCCCAGCAGCCGCAGCGGCGGCAGACGGACGGCAGCUCCCGCUACACCGCGCUGCUCCUCGCCCUGGCCGUGCUGGGCCAGACAGCGCUGCUGUUACACUGCUACCUCGGCAUCGUGCGGCGGGUGCGGGGCAGUGCCAAGCGGGUCAGCGUCCUCAACUUCCACCUCCUGCACCAGCUGCCCUUCCCCGCCGCGCCGCCGCCGCCCCGCCGCUCCCAGCGCCGCCUCAGCAGCGUCUCCGUCCUGCUGCUGUGCUGCGUGUUCCUGCUGGGCACGCAGCCGCUGGUGUGGGUCAGCCUCCUGGGCUUCUUUCUGCGCCCGGCGCCGCCAGCGCUGCAGGCCGCCAGCUGGCUGCUGCUCUGCGCCCUCUCGGCCCUCAACCCGCUACUCUACACGUGGCGCAGCGAGGAGUUCCGCCGGGCGGCCCGAUCCGUCCUGCCCCGCGCCGACGGGCCCGCUGCCGCACCGCGGCCCGCCUCGGCCGCCGCCGGCCCCGCCGCCGCACCGCCCUGCCCGCAGCUGCCCAGGCGGCGAGGCACGGGGGGCAGCGCCAGCGGCAGCGCAGCGCCGCGCUGAGGGGCAGCGCCGGGCGGGAGCAGCCGCGUCCCCUCAGGCCGCUCCCCGCCCGCGGCCACCUCACGGCGGGGAGAAAGCAGUCCGCCGCGCCCCCCGUCAGGCCCGGAGCCCGGCACCGCUCCGCGCUUCGGACGUUCUCCUGUUGCUACUCUCUGGCCUCUCUCCUCCCUCUUUGGCCGCGCUGGCACGAAGCCCGAGGCUCCGAGGCUGAGGUGCGGGUUUCCCGCCGCCCGCUCCCCUCAGCUCCGCUUCCGGGUGCCGGCCAGGACUCCAGCCAGAAGCGGUGGAUUUAGAAAGCUGGGAUAACUGGUAAAUAUGGCAACCUACGUCACUGUUAUGCUUUAAACUGUCGUUAUGCUUUAAAGAUGUCAAUACGAGGCAGGCACCCAGACAGCUCUUUUUGAGGCUUCAUAAAAAUCUGUGUAAUCCGUUCAGAUUCUGAGGUAAUGAUUUGAGAAAGAGCACUUUUGAAGGACUGGCAAGCGUCCCUUUGCACACACAAAGUAAUAAAUCCACCAGGAACUGCUUCCUUUCUCCUGUUACCUAUCUCCAUGUUCCAUGCAAGACCCUCCUUCAUCUUUCCCUGGCAAACCUCCACACGAUGCUGUCUGUGGAAACUGUUAAAAACACGUACACCUUUGUGGUGACGUUCUGGGUAUUUUAGUUUGAAGGCUAUAUAAGGCCUGUUUUGACAAAGGCCUCUCUUUGCCUAUGGCUCUGCACUUGAUAAAACACAAUGCAAUAUGGAGAGCAGUGUUGUCCAUCCAGCCUUGUCGCCUGUGUGGUUACAGCUUGUUCUGUUUCUGUUAAAUGCAUUAUUGUUCAAGUGCGGUUUCCCAGCCUCUGCUAAAUAUAAACUAGCAGGUCCAUUGGGAAAAGUGGUGAGGGAAACAGACUGCAGUGGUGAGCCUCGUUCCCCCCAGGAAAGGACCUAAAAUCCUUCCGUUUCCUUCUCUGUUGCUUGACCACCUCCUUCUUCUCCGGCACAGCUGGUCUCUGGUGGUGAUACUUGGCACUCUGCCUUUUGGCACAAAAGACUGGGAGAAGGUGGUUUUCUGAGUCCGUGGGCAUCCAUAAGCAGUAUCACCUGAACUGUGCCAUCAUGAGAAGAAUGGACACACAGGAACAUAGCAAGGUUCUUCACAACCAGAAUAUGUUGCAUUGGGUGACAGGUAUAAAUGUGAGCUUGGCAGCUCUUGUGAGGGUGUCUGAAUGAUGGGACUAUAAGAAGGAAGAGACAAGCAUGAUGGGUGUAACAUAAAAGGCCCUCUGGCCAUAUUUUAUCAUGCUCCACACUUUGCUUGCCUUAGCUGGUGGGGUUUGCUUUAAGGGAAUUGCUUUAAGAGAGAGGGAAGAGUUUAAUUCUUUCCCUGCUAGGCACCUGUGAUGCAAUGCUGUAUCUAAAAGCCCCAUACCAAAACUUAUUUUUCUAUAUAAAAGCGUAAGGCAUCGCUACAGAAAAGAUUCUUCUUGACGUCAGGAUUUGACAAAGACAAGGAACAGAGGCUUCAAAAGGAACAUGAAAUCAUCUUGACAUCCUGAAAAUGUAUCGACAUCUUAAAAAUCACAUUAGCCACUUGCAAGGACCUGUUUCCCAGAGUCUGAGGCUUACAGAGAGCUUCUUCCUCCACCGUGGAGAUAGUGUGAGAGCCAGUGUGCCACCAGCAUCAGAAAGGUGGAGAGGUUUAGCAGGAAAACACGAACAAGAAGAUAUGCAAGGUUUAUUUUUAUCAACACUGUGCACAUAUCCUGGAGAGUGGAGGAGCCACUGUAUCCUUGUUGGAAUCUCUUAUCCUAAUCCCAGCAACUGUGCUUUUGCUAGCUUUGUGCAGCAGAUGGAGAAGGAAAACUGUUCCAACCACACCUAUACUAGUUCUGGAAAAUACUCUGGAUCACUGCUGAAGUAGAGCAAACUCCAGGGUCACCAAGGGGUAAGACCCUGUUCUACUUUGGAGCAUUUGUUCAAUGUGGAGCAAAAGGACACACAUCACCACUUUCCACUGUGGCUGAAGGAAUUGAAGACACUUGGUAACAGUACUGGGCUCAGCAGCAGAAGAAAAAGCUUUAAAAUAAAAAAAUCACGUGUCAUCCCCCUGGUUUUGACUGUGGAACGUGUUAGUCUGGAGUUAAAGCAAUAACCUGUUUCAGAAUUCAGUGUCCAAACAUCAGCUAACUGGAAUUUCUGGGCUUCUUCCCAUGUCAAAUAGCAUGCAAGUGAAAUGCCUGUAUUUUAUAUAGACUACAUUUUAAAUGCAAGCCUGUAUACAGAAUGCUCUCAUUUACAAAAACCUAAGUCAGCUAUCCUUCUGCUAUGCAUUAAUUCCAGAAAAAGCUGGAAAUCCUAUGGAAAGUUUGAUGUAAUUACAUCUGACUGUAAAUCUUUGACUGUUUUAAUAUACUCAGGUGACCUAAAUAGCAUUACGCAGAAAAGAACUUUAAUUUAAAGUAAUUAAAAAAAGAGUAAUUGUCUCAAGAUCAGUUUCUUAGAGAAAUUACUGCUCAGAAAAGUCCUGUAUGCCUUGUUCUACAGCCAUAUUCUUUGUAUUUCCACAUUGUAAAUACUCCAUGGUAAAUUGCAAUGGAAGCUCAGCUUAGCUUAACUUCUGGCUCUGUGGUACUGCUUCUUGGUUGAGAAAAUUGAUCUGACUCAGUUUUUGGCAUCUAUGCUUUACUUUUACAGCUGGUUCAUAUGUGUCCUUCUAGUUUAAUGGUGACUUUUCUUCAGUAUGAAUUUCUGUCACGCUCAAACAGCUGAUUAAGAGCUGCUGGGGCUGUGCUGCCAGUUGUCCUUUAAAAUGUCUGAGCCAGUUUUUCAAGAGGUUUAAAUGAAGGUGAUGGGAAAACCUGUUAGCAAUUCAAGGGAGGUUUUCUUGAAUUGAAUUGCUUCUUUGAUCUGGUGGUGUGCCAAGCCAGUUGUCUGAGCAGUCUGAGACUGCCCUUCCUAGAGUGGUUGUUCAGCUGGCUUCACAUACAUUAGAUAGAUCUCAUUCAAGUGCUGGAUUUAUUACACAGUGGUGCAGGUCAGCCACAUUGUUCAUGUGCAAUAGGUGCCUAUUCCUUUGCUUUUUUCUCAGGGCUUCUGGAAACAAGAGCAGCUAGGAGUUAGUAAUAGGCUGAAUAGCCAGUUGUACUGAUGUGGCUUGAAAACAGCCAUUUGAUGUAUUAUGGUGGCCUAAGUAAAUCUACACAUCAGUUUGUAGGUUUGCCUGUGCAGAAACACGUGUGGGACCUGCUUUUUAAAGCUUCAUGACUCUGCCAUCUCAGAUGGAGUUUUGUUCAUAGAUGUCUUCAGGUUGUCUGGAAUCUCCUGUGACAGUCUCAGGGCAGAAUUAAAAAUGCAGAUAUGCUUCAGGCAAGAGCUGCAUCCAUCCUGAUCUGUCCUGAAGCUGAUGAUAUGAUGGAGGAGCAAUGGCACUCUGAAAAGAGCAAGGUUCAGUGAAAUGGCUGUGCAGUGCUGUAGCUGUGGAGACAGGAGCAGCAAGGUUUCAGCAGAGGUAAUAACCAGGAAUCCUGUGAAGAUGUAUACCAAGUCACCAUGCUACUUGAUAUCCUGAAUACAGAAAGCCAUUACAGAGGGACAUGCAUGUACCUGACGACUGAAGAACAGGAAGGAGCUGUGAAACAGGGAGGUGGCGGAUCUCCAUUUUCCCAUAAUCAAGGAUCUCUAAGUGCCUUGGAGAGCAGAUGCUGGAGUUUUGUCUAAGAAGCUGUAAUUCCAGUGAGGGAAAAGUGACUUUGAUGCAUUUCAAGAUAUUUGGCUCAAAAUAAAAGCAGAUCUGAGCUCUCAUUUCAAAAUUCCCAAACAGAUUUUGAAUACUCGUAUUUGAAUUUGGCUCUUAAUAUACACUGGAGGAUGUUUCAAAAGGGAAACUUUUGUCAAUGCGAAAACAGUAGAAGCUCAGCUACCCA
Molecule: RNA transcript, 5921 nt
Organism: Pezoporus occidentalis (night parrot)
Lineage: Eukaryota; Metazoa; Chordata; Aves; Psittaciformes; Psittacidae
Gene: GPR88
Gene name: G protein-coupled receptor 88
Exons: 6
Source: RefSeq, a predicted model, not a curated record